CGGCUAUCAGAGAACGGCGCA
RNAcentral lists this non-coding RNA (21 nucleotides) under Arabidopsis thaliana (thale cress). The record is from RNAcentral. Lineage: Eukaryota; Viridiplantae; Streptophyta; Magnoliopsida; Brassicales; Brassicaceae.